AGAAGCCUUCGGGUGGAAGAUGAGAUAACUUAGUGGCGGACGGGUGAGUAACACGUGAGCAACCUGCCUAUCAGAGGGGGAUAACGUUCUGAAAAGAACGCUAAUACCGCAUAACGUGCGAGGGAGACAUCUCCCUUGUACCAAAGGAGCAAUCCGCUGAUAGAUGGGCUCGCGUCCGAUUAGGUAGUUGGUAGGGUAACGGCCUACCAAGCCGACGAUCGGUAGCCGGACUGAGAGGUUGAACGGCCACAUUGGGACUGAGACACGGCCCAGACUCC
This 278-nucleotide ribosomal RNA is filed under the name uncultured bacterium. Its description in RNAcentral is "partial 16S ribosomal RNA". It matches the Rfam family "Bacterial small subunit ribosomal RNA", at positions 69 to 339 of the family's 1533-position model. The record is from RNAcentral. RNAcentral also lists the same sequence under 1 other name.